This 126-nucleotide small RNA is filed under the name Salmonella enterica subsp. enterica serovar Typhimurium. RNAcentral's name for it is "RtT sRNA". It matches the Rfam family "RtT RNA". From Rfam's summary of the family: This family represents a bacterial cis-regulatory element known as RtT RNA. The exact function of RtT is unknown although it is thought that it may be involved in changing the cellular response in relation to amino acid starvation. Lineage: Bacteria; Pseudomonadati; Pseudomonadota; Gammaproteobacteria; Enterobacterales; Enterobacteriaceae. The record is from RNAcentral.
UUGCUAUCUGCGAUAUGGAAGAUUCGCACCUACCGCAGGUCCGGGUCUCUCGUAGUGAGACAACGGAGCCGCGUGCGGCGUCGGCCCGAAGGGCGAGCGACGCGAGUCAUCCUGCACGACCCACCA